CUGAAGCCAAUUAAACCAUCCAUGUUCCUCUGCUCAUGGGAAUGUAGUGUGAAGUGAUUGCAAAAGGCAGCCUCUUUGGGAAUGUGUGCAGGUUACCUUUAUGGGUUGCCCUAAGGGACGUUGGAGACAAUU
Molecule: small nucleolar RNA, 132 nt
Organism: Phodopus roborovskii (desert hamster)
Lineage: Eukaryota; Metazoa; Chordata; Mammalia; Rodentia; Cricetidae
Product: small nucleolar RNA SNORA70
Exons: 1
Source: RefSeq, a predicted model, not a curated record